RNAcentral lists this ribosomal RNA (1130 nucleotides) under Triticum aestivum (bread wheat). RNAcentral describes it as "partial small subunit ribosomal RNA". Lineage: Eukaryota; Viridiplantae; Streptophyta; Magnoliopsida; Poales; Poaceae. The record is from RNAcentral.
GUCAUAACCUGCCCCCAACACUAGAGCGACCUGUACCGAAUUCUUUUUCCCAACCAUCCAUAUCCGAUGCUUUUCUCACCCCUUCACUUCUCUCCACGAUAAAAGAAAGAAAUGACUUGGAGGAAGCGGGAGACAGAGGAGACGCACGGGGCGACGCUACACCGGCAGCGGCUCGCCCUCCAGUGAUCCUCCAGCCAUCCUUCGAAUCGACUUGACCAAAACGCUCCACCUUGCCCCCGUAAUUCAUUAGUCCCUUCGUCCUUCCCCAAUCGCCACUCUCUCCAGAUGCCUUGCUUCUAUUUGGUCAGCCAUGGCCAUGGAAAGGUGUGCCGGUUGGCCACAUCUAUGAGUUCCCCGUUGCUGGGCCUCCUAGAGGCGUGGUGGUUGUGUUGCUGGAGGGAGAUGCAACAACGAGAUGUAGGAGAUAUGGGGGAGAGAGAUCACAGGGAAGAAGGCAAGAUGGUGAAGAGGGGUGCUAGGAGGGCACAGGGAAGAGGAGAUCUCGAGGCCUCAUCACAAUUGAUACGUCUCCAACGUAUCUAUAAUUUUCUAUUUUUUUCAUGCUAUUAUAUUAUAAUCUUGUAUGCUUUAUAUGCAAUUUUAUAUCAUUUUUGAGAACUAAGCUAUUAACUCAGUGCUCAGUGCCAGUUCAUGUUUUUGCCUAUUUCUUUGUUUUGCAGAAAAACCAUACCAAACGAAGACCAAACACAAUGAAACUUUACGGUGAUUUUUUGGACCAGAAGAGACCCUAGAAGCUUCGAGGGAGGGCCAGAAGACCUGCAGGUGGGCAACAAGCUCAAAGGGCGCGCCACCUGAGCUUGUGGGCCCCACAAGGCUCCACCUGACCUAAUUCCAGCGGUACAAACUCCCUAAAUUCCAGAAACCCCCAGAGCGAGACCCGUAACAGCCGCAAGCCUCUGUUCUUAUGCAAUCCCAUCUGGAGGCCUCCGUCAUACUCUGUCAGAGGGGAUAUCGAUCACGGAGGCCAUAUUCAUCGACCUUGAUGCCUCCAUGAUGAUAUGUGAGUAGUUCCCACAGGGCCUAUGGGUCCAUAACAUUAGCUAUCUCUCUCUCUCUCUCUCUCUCUCUCUCUCUCUCUCUCUCUUGAUCUUCAAUACAAUGAUCUGUUC